Long non-coding RNA from Saccostrea cuccullata (small rock oyster), 402 nucleotides. RefSeq lists it as uncharacterized. The record is from RefSeq and is a predicted model, not a curated record. NCBI's taxonomy places the organism in Eukaryota, Metazoa, Mollusca, Bivalvia, Ostreida, Ostreidae. The transcript is spliced from 3 exons.
UCGCCAACCAGGAGAUUAGAAUGAUAGGAUCUGCUCCUGCCACUUUAAGGAUGGUAAGAAAGAGGGGGACCCUGCAUAUUUUGCAUGGAAUGAGGGAAAGCCCAUGGAUUUCUCGGAUCCUGAAUGCACAAAAAGGAGGAAAAAACUCAAAAGUGAGGAGUCCCUGUAAUCUUCACAGAUGGACCAGUUACAGAUUCCUCAAGCACCAAAUUGUCAAGAUCAAGAAAAAUUGAUAGCAGAGCACAACUACUCAGCAUCCUGCACAUUUAACUGUACUCAAGAAAUGCAGCACCUCUCAACAGAAAUACAACAACUGGAAAAGGAAUUGCUUGCCCUAAAAAUAGAGUCUAGUAAAAGGAAGCCAAUGUCAAUUCACGAUAUUAAAGACAGUGAAGAGAAGGU